RNAcentral lists this ribosomal RNA (253 nucleotides) under uncultured bacterium. RNAcentral's name for it is "partial 16S ribosomal RNA". It matches the Rfam family "Bacterial small subunit ribosomal RNA", at positions 524 to 776 of the family's 1533-position model. The record is from RNAcentral.
UACGGUGGGGGCAAGCGUUGUUCGGAAUUACUGGGCGUAAAGGGCUCGUAGGCGGCCAACUAAGUCAGACGUGAAAUCCCUCGGCUUAACCGGGGAACUGCGUCUGAUACUGGAUGGCUUGAGUUUGGGAGAGGGAUGCGGAAUUCCAGGUGUAGCGGUGAAAUGCGUAGAUAUCUGGAGGAACACCGGUGGCGAAGGCGGCAUCCUGGACCAACACUGACGCUGAGGAGCGAAAGCCAGGGGAGCAAACGGG